This 84-nucleotide non-coding RNA is filed under the name Metabacillus litoralis. RNAcentral's name for it is "Bacillus litoralis c-di-GMP sequence". It matches the Rfam family "c-di-GMP-I riboswitch aptamer". From Rfam's summary of the family: GEMM was predicted in a large-scale screen for bacterial structured RNA regulatory elements. The record is from Rfam by way of RNAcentral. Lineage: Bacteria; Bacillati; Bacillota; Bacilli; Caryophanales; Bacillaceae.
AUCAGAAAAAGGCUAACCUAUUGAAAAAUAGGGUCGCAAAGUUACAGACCUAAGGUUUAACACUAUGGUGGCUGGACUACCGGA